GGGAGCCGGCGCCCGCGGCGGGAGGCUACGUGCGGUGGUCACGUGUCGGCGGCGCCCCGCGUCUAGCUACGGCCGGGCCUGGCGGGUGUAGGGGCACCCGCGCUCGGGGCGGCACGGGAGCGCGGCCGGGGCUCGGGGCGUUCGCGGUGCGGUGCUGAGCAGAGAGACAGGCGGCGGCCGGGAAACGUGAGUGACCUCGGGGCGCUCGGCGCCGCCACCGUGUUUCCCCGCGGCUCGCCUGCCCGCCGACGCCGGAGGACCGGCCCCGGCCGCGGAGCAGGAGACACGGACCCCCGGCCCGCCCGCGUGCGCUUGCACCCGCCGUGGGCGCCCCGUGGGCGGGGGUCGCGCCCCAGCGCAGCACCCACCCGCAGGUAGAAAACCAGCUUGCCCACUACCAUCUCCCGUGUCAGGAGCUCUGCCCGGAAACGCCCACCCUUGGAUCGGUGUGUCCACGACCCCUUAUCCUGCUGGAUUGCACACGUUAAGGGUUAAAAGCAGGUGGCGCUCGCGCUGGACGUUUAAAAAUAAAGCCAGAUUUAUUGCCUGUUGUGAUGGUGACUUCACACCAAGACAAGAAUCCAGAAGAGUUCCGCCAACUGACCGGAACCACCAUUGGGUCAGCUUUGCUGCUGUGAUCUAGUCAUAAAUUUCUUGGAUAGUUCAAGCCUCGUUGAACCUGGUGAAGUAAAUUGCAAGAUAAAAUCUGUCGAGUUCCAGCUGUGUCCUGGCCUUUGGUUCAGGCUGAUGUGUUCCUCUCCCCGCUCUACUCAAACAUCGAAUUAGUAACCUCCACAACUCAAGAUGUGGCUACAUUUGGAUAUAGCGUCUUUAAAGAAGCAAUUAAAACGAAGUCAUUAAAAAAACAAAACAAAAAACGAGGUCAUUAGAGUGGGCCCUAAUCCAGUAUGAAUGUCAUCUUUACAAGAAGGAAGUGGACACAGGUGUGUGUGAAGCAGGACAACCAGAUUUAUUUAUUCAGAGAGAGACAGAGAGAGAGACAGAGAGAGAAGCAGACUCCAUGCAGGGAGCCCGACGUGGGACUCGAUCCCUGGUCUCCAGGAUCACUGCAGACAGCGCUAAACCGCUGCACCACCAGGGCUGCCCUAGCCUCUUAUCUCUAAUGAUACUUUCUGCCUUUUAGUUUUUCCUGAUACUAAAAUAACUACACCAGCUUUCUUUUGGGUAAUAUUUGCCUAAUAAACCGUUUUC
Long non-coding RNA from Nyctereutes procyonoides (raccoon dog), 1212 nucleotides. RefSeq lists it as uncharacterized. NCBI's taxonomy places the organism in Eukaryota, Metazoa, Chordata, Mammalia, Carnivora, Canidae. The transcript is spliced from 5 exons. The record is from RefSeq and is a predicted model, not a curated record.